This 433-nucleotide ribosomal RNA is filed under the name uncultured bacterium. Its description in RNAcentral is "partial 16S ribosomal RNA". It matches the Rfam family "Bacterial small subunit ribosomal RNA", at positions 29 to 507 of the family's 1533-position model. The record is from RNAcentral.
AACGAACGCUGGCGGCAGGCCUAACACAUGCAAGUCGAGCGAGGACUUCGGUCCUAGCGGCGGACGGGUGAGUAACGCGUGGGAACGUGCCCUUUGCUUCGGAAUAGCCCUGGGAAACUGGGAGUAAUACCGGAUGAGCCCUUUGGGGGAAAGAUUUAUCGGCGAGGGAUCGGCCCGCGUUGGAUUAGGUAGUUGGUGGGGUAAUGGCCUACCAAGCCGACGAUCCAUAGCUGGUUUGAGAGGAUGAUCAGCCACACUGGGACUGAGACACGGCCCAGACUCCUACGGGAGGCAGCAGUGGGGAAUCUUAGACAAUGGGGGAAACCCUGAUCUAGCCAUGCCGCGUGAGCGAUGAAGGCCUUAGGGUUGUAAAGCUCUUUCAGCUGGGAAGAUAAUGACGGUACCAGCAGAAGAAGCCCCGGCUAACUCCGUG